Molecule: ribosomal RNA, 643 nt
Filed under: uncultured bacterium
Lineage: Bacteria
Description: bacterial SSU rRNA
Rfam family: Bacterial small subunit ribosomal RNA
Source: RNAcentral
CGCGGCCUAUCAGCUUGUUGGUGAGGUUACGGCUCACCAAGGCGACGACGGGUAGCCGGCCUGAGAGGGUGACCGGCCACACUGGGACUGAGAUACGGCCCAGACUCCUACGGGAGGCAGCAGUGGGGAAUAUUGCACAAUGGGCGCAAGCCUGAUGCAGCGACGCCGCGUGAGGGAUGACGGCCUUCGGGUUGUAAACCUCUUUCGCCAGGGACGAAGCGCAAGUGACGGUACCUGGAGAAGAAGGACCGGCCAACUACGUGCCAGCAGCCGCGGUAAUACGUAGGGUCCGAGCGUUGUCCGGAAUUACUGGGCGUAAAGAGCUCGUAGGUGGUUUGUCGCGUUGUUCGUGAAAACUCACAGCUCAACUGUGGGCGUGCGGGCGAUACGGGCAGACUGGAGUACUGCAGGGGAGACUGGAAUUCCUGGUGUAGCGGUGGAAUGCGCAGACAUCAGGAGGAACACCGGUGGCGAAGGCGGGUCUCUGGGCAGUAACUGACGCUGAGGAGCGAAAGCGUGGGGAGCGAACAGGAUUAGAUACCCUGGUAGUCCACGCCGUAAACGGUGGGUACUAGGUGUGGGUUUCCUUCCUUGGGAUCCGUGCCGUAGCUAACGCAUUAAGUACCCCGCCUGGGGAGUACGG